RNAcentral lists this long non-coding RNA (324 nucleotides) under Nicotiana benthamiana. RNAcentral's name for it is "long non-coding RNA (NBEN_LNC029363)". Lineage: Eukaryota; Viridiplantae; Streptophyta; Magnoliopsida; Solanales; Solanaceae. The record is from RNAcentral.
AUAAAAGUUAAAUUCAUGCUGAUAUAUCACGCUAGCUCUAUUGACCACAAUGACAAUAGGAUCUCUUAAAAUAAUUCAUAACCUAAUACAUGGUGAAUAGACACACUUGAAUACAUUGAAUUUUCAAGUAUGCAUGAAAGUCAUGUAUAUUCUUAAAUGGAGGUCUAAAAUGUUUAUAAUGAAUAAGGCACAAAAAGGAAAAAGGCUAGAUCCUGUGAUCCACAGAGUACCAUUACUUGUAGUGCACGUCAUUUUGAUUCACAACUCCGUAGGUUAUCAAAAGCACGCAUCUAAGAGGCAGCAACAGCACACAGCAGCCAGACU